This 466-nucleotide ribosomal RNA is filed under the name uncultured bacterium. RNAcentral describes it as "bacterial SSU rRNA". It matches the Rfam family "Bacterial small subunit ribosomal RNA", at positions 28 to 507 of the family's 1533-position model. The record is from RNAcentral.
GACGAACGCUGGCGGCGUGCUUAACACAUGCAAGUCGAACGGUAAGGCUCCAGCUUGCUGGGGUACACGAGUGGCGAACGGGUGAGUAACACGUGGGUGACCUGCCCUGCACUUCGGGAUAAGCCUGGGAAACUGGGUCUAAUACCGGAUAGGACCGCACCGUGAGGGUGUGGUGGAAAGUUUUUUCGGUGUGGGAUGGGCCCGCGGCCUAUCAGCUUGUUGGUGGGGUAAUGGCCUACCAAGGCGGCGACGGGUAGCCGGCCUGAGAGGGUGGACGGCCACAUUGGGACUGAGACACGGCCCAGACUCCUACGGGAGGCAGCAGUGGGGAAUAUUGCACAAUGGGCGGAAGCCUGAUGCAGCGACGCCGCGUGGGGGAUGACGGCCUUCGGGUUGUAAACUCCUUUUCACCAUCGACGAAGGGUUUCUGACGGUAGAUGGAGAAGAAGCACCGGCUAACUACGUG